AGAUCACCGAAGUCAAGCAUCAUUGGGCGCGGUCAGUACUUGGGUGGGUGACCACCUGGGAACACCGCGUGCCGUU
This is a non-coding RNA of Caerostris extrusa, 76 nucleotides long. The record is from the annotation of a GenBank genome assembly. Lineage: Eukaryota; Metazoa; Arthropoda; Arachnida; Araneae; Araneidae.